This 303-nucleotide ribosomal RNA is filed under the name uncultured bacterium. RNAcentral's name for it is "partial 16S ribosomal RNA". It matches the Rfam family "Bacterial small subunit ribosomal RNA", at positions 507 to 808 of the family's 1533-position model. The record is from RNAcentral.
AGCAGUAGCCACGGUAAUACGUAGGUCCCGAGCGUUGUCCGGAUUUAUUGGGCGUAAAGCGAGCGCAGGCGGUUUGAUAAGUCUGAAGUUAAAGGCUGUGGCUCAACCAUAGUUCGCUUUGGAAACUGUCAAACUUGAGUGCAGAAGGGGAGAGUGGAAUUCCAUGUGUAGCGGUGAAAUGCGUAGAUAUAUGGAGGAACACCGGUGGCGAAAGCGGCUCUCUGGUCUGUAACUGACGCUGAGGCUCGAAAGCGUGGGGAGCGAACAGGAUUAGAUACCCGAGUAGUCCCUGUCUCUUAUACC